AUUGAACGCUGGCGGCAGGCCUAACACAUGCAAGUCGAACGGUAACAGGAAACAGCUUGCUGUUUCGCUGACGAGUGGCGGACGGGUGAGUAAUGUCUGGGAAACUGCCUGAUGGAGGGGGAUAACUACUGGAAACGGUAGCUAAUACCGCAUAACGUCGCAAGACCAAAGAGGGGGACCUUCGGGCCUCUUGCCAUCGGAUGUGCCCAGAUGGGAUUAGCUAGUAGGUGGGGUAACGGCUCACCUAGGCGACGAUCCCUAGCUGGUCUGAGAGGAUGACCAGCCACACUGGAACUGAGACACGGUCCAGACUCCUACGGGAGGCAGCAGUGGGGAAUAUUGCACAAUGGGCGCAAGCCUGAUGCAGCCAUGCCGCGUGUAUGAAGAAGGCCUUCGGGUUGUAAAGUACUUUCAGCGGGGAGGAAGGGAGUAAAGUUAAUACCUUUGCUCAUUGACGUUACCCGCAGAAGAAGCACCGGCUAACUCCGUGCCAGCAGCCGCGGUAAUACGGAGGGUGCAAGCGUUAAUCGGAAUUACUGGGCGUAAAGCGCACGCAGGCGGUUUGUUAAGUCAGAUGUGAAAUCCCCGGGCUCAACCUGGGAACUGCAUCUGAUACUGGCAAGCUUGAGUCUCGUAGA
This 638-nucleotide ribosomal RNA is filed under the name uncultured Pseudomonadota bacterium. Its description in RNAcentral is "bacterial SSU rRNA". It matches the Rfam family "Bacterial small subunit ribosomal RNA", at positions 28 to 655 of the family's 1533-position model. Lineage: Bacteria; Pseudomonadati; Pseudomonadota. The record is from RNAcentral.